GUUUACGGCCAUACCAGCCUGGGUACGCCCGAUCUCGUCUGAUCUCGGAAGCUAAGCAGGGUCGGGCCUGGUUAGUACUUGGAUGGUAGACCUGCCUGGGAAUACCAGGUGCUGUAAGCU
Molecule: ribosomal RNA, 120 nt
Filed under: Salmo trutta (river trout)
Lineage: Eukaryota; Metazoa; Chordata; Actinopteri; Salmoniformes; Salmonidae
Source: RNAcentral